GACGAACGCUGGCGGCGUGCUUAACACAUGCAAGUCGAACGGAAAGGCCCUGCUUUUGUGGGGUGCUCGAGUGGCGAACGGGUGAGUAACACGUGAGUAACCUGCCCUUGACUUUGGGAUAACUUCAGGAAACUGGGGCUAAUACCGGAUAGGAGCUCCUGCUGCAUGGUGGGGGUUGAAAAGUUUCGGCGGUUGGGGAUGGACUCGCGGCUUAUCAGCUUGUUGGUGGGGUAGUUGCUUACCAAGGCUUUGACGGGUAGCCGGCCUGGGAGGGUGACCGGGCCCAUAGGAACAGGGGAGCGACCCGGACCCCUUCGGGAGGAAGGGGCGGGAGAUUUUCGGCAAAGGGCGGAAGGCUGGAGCAACAGCCCCGGAUGGGGAAAGGCGGCUUUCGGGGUAUAACCCAUUUUCGCGUAUGCCGGAGCGUCAGGACGGGAAGUGGUGAAAGAACCACGGCCAACCAAGUG
RNAcentral lists this ribosomal RNA (467 nucleotides) under uncultured bacterium. RNAcentral describes it as "partial 16S ribosomal RNA". It matches the Rfam family "Bacterial small subunit ribosomal RNA", at positions 28 to 507 of the family's 1533-position model. The record is from RNAcentral.